AAUAGAUACCCAGGUAGUCCACGCCGUAAACGAUGAGUGCUAAGUGUUAGGGGGUUUCCGCCCCUUAGUGCUGCAGCUAACGCAUUAAGCACUCCGCCUGGGGAGUACGGUCGCAAGACUGAAACUCAAAGGAAUUGACGGGGGCCCGCACAAGCGGUGGAGCAUGUGGUUUAAUUCGAAGCAACGCGAAGAACCUUACCAGGUCUUGACAUCCCAUUGACCACUAUGGAGACAUAGUUUUCCCUUCGGGGACAACGGUGACAAGUGGUGCAUGGUUGUCGUCAGCUCGUGUCGUGAGAUGUUGGGUUAAAUCCCGCAACGAGCGCAACCCUUGUUCUUAGUUGCCAUCAUUUAGUUGGGCACUCUAAGGAGACUGCCGGUGACAAACCGGAGGAAGGUAGGGAUGACGUCAAAUCAUCAUGCCCCUUAUGACCUGGGCUACACACGUGCUACAAUGGACGGUACAAACGGUUGCCAACCGCGAGGGGAGCUAAUCCGAUAAAACCGUUCUCAGUUCGGAUUGUAGGCUGCAACUCGCCUACAUGAACG
RNAcentral lists this ribosomal RNA (549 nucleotides) under uncultured bacterium. RNAcentral's name for it is "bacterial SSU rRNA". It matches the Rfam family "Bacterial small subunit ribosomal RNA", at positions 777 to 1325 of the family's 1533-position model. The record is from RNAcentral.